This is a small nuclear RNA of Clarias gariepinus (North African catfish), 103 nucleotides long. The record is from RefSeq and is a predicted model, not a curated record. Lineage: Eukaryota; Metazoa; Chordata; Actinopteri; Siluriformes; Clariidae.
UCCUUGUUUCAAGGGGAAAAAUAUCACUGGAUCAAUAGAGAGAAGAUUUGAAUGGCCCCAACAUAAAGAUGUCAUACAAAUCUGUGAAGUGUUCCCCUUUUUU